RNAcentral lists this unclassified non-coding RNA (159 nucleotides) under uncultured Helotiales. RNAcentral describes it as "sequence contains ITS1". The record is from RNAcentral. Lineage: Eukaryota; Fungi; Ascomycota; Leotiomycetes; Helotiales.
CAGAGUUCAUGCCCUUACGGGUAGAUCUCCCACCCUUGAAAUAUCUACCUUUGUUGCUUUGGCAGGCCGCGGCCUCCGCUACCGGCUUCGGCUGGUGAGUGCCUGCCAGAGGACCUAAACUCUGUUUGUCUAUACUGUCUGAGUACUAUAUAAUAGUUA